Molecule: ribosomal RNA, 253 nt
Filed under: uncultured bacterium
Lineage: Bacteria
Description: partial 16S ribosomal RNA
Rfam family: Bacterial small subunit ribosomal RNA
Source: RNAcentral
UACGUAGGUGGCAAGCGUUGUCCGGAUUUACUGGGCGUAAAGAGCGCGCAGGCGGUCGUUCAAGUCGCGUGUGAAAGCCCCGGGCUCAACCUGGGAAUUGCAUUCGAGACUGCGUGGCUAGGGUGCGGAAGAGGGAAGCGGAAUUUCCGGUGUAGCGGUGAAAUGCGUAGAUAUCGGAAGGAACACCAGUGGCGAAAGCGGCUUCCUGGUCCAGCACCGACGUUCAGGCACGAAAGCGUGGGGAGCAAACAGG